This 492-nucleotide ribosomal RNA is filed under the name uncultured bacterium. RNAcentral describes it as "partial 16S ribosomal RNA". It matches the Rfam family "Bacterial small subunit ribosomal RNA", at positions 28 to 507 of the family's 1533-position model. The record is from RNAcentral.
GAUGAACGCUAGCUACAGGCUUAACACAUGCAAGUCGAGGGGAAACGACAUCGAAAGCUUGCUUUUGAUGGGCGUCGACCGGCGCACGGGUGAGUAACGCGUAUCCAACCUGCCCAUCACUUGGGGAUAACCUUGCGAAAGUAAGACUAAUACCCAAUGAUAUCUCUAGAAGACAUCUGAAAGAGAUUAAAGAUUUAUCGGUGAUGGAUGGGGAUGCGUCUGAUUAGCUUGUUGGCGGGGUAACGGCCCACCAAGGCAACGAUCAGUAGGGGUUCUGAGAGGAAGGUCCCCCACAUUGGAACUGAGACACGGUCCAAACUCCUACGGGAGGCAGCAGUGAGGAAUAUUGGUCAAUGGGCGAGAGCCUGAACCAGCCAAGUAGCGUGCAGGAAGACGGCCCUAUGGGUUGUAAACUGCUUUUAUAAGGGAAAAAAGUGAGAGUCGUGACUCUUUUUGUAUGUACCUUAUGAAUAAGGACCGGCUAAUUCCGUG